AAACGUGGUCGUUUUUGUUUUUUUUAGUAAUUCUCUGGUUCUUCUAUUCGAGAGGAUCCCAAGAAGUAAAAAAAAGUUUGACAACGAGCUGGGAAAAGUUCACUGCAAUAAAAAAACAAAAAAAAGACUGGCUGAAAAGCAGCUCCCAAACUAGGGUUUGGCUAUGUUUCCUUCUGAUCAAAAGGUGUUUCAUGGAGGCAAAGCUGGACGAUGGCCCAUCCGUGAUUGGGGGAACUCUCCUCUGGCAAAUCAUUCUUGGCUCUGGUUACUUUGUGUUUAGAUAGGGUGAGGCGAAGGAGUUUGAUACAUAGGCUGUGGGCGAACUUGUCCCGUCUUCACUCUGCCAUUAAGUUCUUUUCCCUGCACUUCACCCCAGUUUGUACAUUAAAGUCUGUACCAAUAGUUGUGAAUUUGGAAUCUUAAACAAUCAAACAUCUGACAAGUUUCAAUUGUGUGGAGAGCUCUUUGUUUGUUUGAGACGAGAAAUUUACAUUGUAAAAUAAAUGUCUUUCGUGUUUCCACUGCUUAAGAGCUGGUUAUCUGUGUGGUCCUUUAGGCCUUUACUAUAUAUCUCCAAGUCGGCGAUGUUAAGAUGUUCCAUGGCCAUUGGACGGCAUCUGGUUAUAUAUCUCCAAGUCGGUGGAGCAUUAAGACAGUCGCGAAGGCACAGCCUCUCUCUCUCUCUCUCUCUCUCUCUGUCUUCCAGCUGAACUUCGUACAAGUCCUGAUUUCUAGCCUUUUCGUUGGUCCAUGUGAAGCUGUAUCUGUUUUCCUUUUGAAUUGUUCAGUUUGUCACGAUGCAUUUGAACGCUUGUCCGGUGAAGUUUUGCUAAAUCUUCUUCCAUGUCAUGGCAA
RNAcentral lists this long non-coding RNA (855 nucleotides) under Actinidia chinensis (golden kiwifruit). RNAcentral's name for it is "long non-coding RNA (ACHI_LNC004935)". The record is from RNAcentral. Lineage: Eukaryota; Viridiplantae; Streptophyta; Magnoliopsida; Ericales; Actinidiaceae.